Molecule: ribosomal RNA, 494 nt
Filed under: uncultured bacterium
Lineage: Bacteria
Description: partial 16S ribosomal RNA
Rfam family: Bacterial small subunit ribosomal RNA
Source: RNAcentral
GACGAACGCUGGCGGCGUGCUUAACACAUGCAAGUCGAACGGAAAGGCCUGCUUUCCCUUGUGGAUUGCGGGUACUCGAGUGGCGAACGGGUGAGUAACACGUGAGUGAUCUGCCCCCAACUUGGGUAUAAGCCUGGGAAACUGGGUCUAAUUCCCGAUAGGACUGCAGGGUGGUGCCUGUGGUGGAAAACGAUGUUCUAGUGGUUGGGGAUGAGCUCGCGGCCUAUCAGCUUGUUGGUGGGGUAAUGGCCUACCAAGGCGGCGACGGGUAGCCGGCCUGAGAGGGUGGACGGCCACAUUGGGACUGAGAUACGGCCCAGACUCCUACGGGAGGCAGCAGUGGGGAAUAUUGCGCAAUGAGCGGAAGCCUGAUGCAGCGACGCCGCGUGGGGGAUGACGGCCUUCGGGUUGUAAACUCCUUUCGACCGCGAGGAAGCCACCUGGUUGGAAGGGUGGUGACGGUAGUGGUAGAAGAAGCACCGGCUAACUACGUG